Molecule: ribosomal RNA, 914 nt
Filed under: Brachybacterium rhamnosum
Lineage: Bacteria; Bacillati; Actinomycetota; Actinomycetes; Micrococcales; Dermabacteraceae
Description: bacterial SSU rRNA
Rfam family: Bacterial small subunit ribosomal RNA
Source: RNAcentral
GAGCUUGCUCGGUCUGAUUAGUGGCGAACGGGUGAGUAACACGUGAGCAACCUGCCCUUCACUCUGGGAUAACCUCGGGAAAUCGGGGCUAAUACCGGAUAUGAGCUCCUGUCGCAUGGCGGGUGUUGGAAAGUUUUUCGGUGAAGGAUGGGCUCGCGGCCUAUCAGUUUGUUGGUGAGGUAGUGGCUCACCAAGGCGAUGACGGGUAGCCGGCCUGAGAGGGCGACCGGCCACACUGGGACUGAGACACGGCCCAGACUCCUACGGGAGGCAGCAGUGGGGAAUAUUGCACAAUGGGCGAAAGCCUGAUGCAGCGACGCCGCGUGAGGGAUGACGGCCUUCGGGUUGUAAACCUCUUUCAGCAGGGAAGAAGCGAAAGUGACGGUACCUGCAGAAGAAGCGCCGGCUAACUACGUGCCAGCAGCCGCGGUAAUACGUAGGGCGCAAGCGUUGUCCGGAAUUAUUGGGCGUAAAGAGCUUGUAGGUGGCUUGUCGCGUCUGCCGUGAAAACCCGAGGCUCAACCUCGGGCGUGCGGUGGGUACGGGCAGGCUAGAGUGUGGUAGGGGAGACUGGAACUCCUGGUGUAGCGGUGAAAUGCGCAGAUAUCAGGAAGAACACCGAUGGCGAAGGCAGGUCUCUGGGCCAUUACUGACACUGAGAAGCGAAAGCAUGGGGAGCGAACAGGAUUAGAUACCCUGGUAGUCCAUGCCGUAAACGUUGGGCACUAGAUGUGGGGAACAUUCCACGUUUUCCGCGUCGUAGCUAACGCAUUAAGUGCCCCGCCUGGGGAGUACGGCCGCAAGGCUAAAACUCAAAGGAAUUGACGGGGGCCCGCACAAGCGGCGGAGCAUGCGGAUUAAUUCGAUGCAACGCGAAGAACCUUACCAAGGCUUGACAUGCACCGGACGACUCC